RNAcentral lists this ribosomal RNA (376 nucleotides) under uncultured bacterium. RNAcentral's name for it is "bacterial SSU rRNA". It matches the Rfam family "Bacterial small subunit ribosomal RNA", at positions 524 to 898 of the family's 1533-position model. The record is from RNAcentral.
UACGGAGGGUGCAAGCGUUGUUCGGAAUUAUUGGGCGUAAAGCACGCGUAGGCGGGCUUGUAUGUCAGAUGUGAAAGCCCUUGGCUCAACUGAGGAAGUGCAUCUGAAACUGCAAGUCUUGAGUACGAGAGAGGAGAGUGGAAUUCCCAGUGUAGAGGUGAAAUUCAUAGAUAUUGGGAAGAACACCGGCGGCGAAAGCGGCUCUCUGGCUCGAUACUGACGCUGAGGCGUGAAAGCGUGGGGAGCAAACAGGAUUAGAUACCCUGGUAGUCCACGCUGUAAACGAUGUUCACUAGGUGUCGGGGGUAAUAAAACCUUCAGUGCCGCAGCUAACGCAUUAAGUGAACCGCCUGGGGAUUACGGUCGCAAGAUUAAA